This 253-nucleotide ribosomal RNA is filed under the name uncultured bacterium. RNAcentral describes it as "partial 16S ribosomal RNA". It matches the Rfam family "Bacterial small subunit ribosomal RNA", at positions 524 to 776 of the family's 1533-position model. The record is from RNAcentral.
UACGUAGGGUGCGAGCGUUAAUCGGAAUUACUGGGCGUAAAGCGCACGUAGGCGGAUAGUUAAGUCGGGGGUGAAAUCCCGGGGCUCAACCCCGGAACUGCCUUCGAUACUGGCUGUCUGGAGGUCGAGAGAGGUGAGUGGAAUUCCGAGUGUAGAGGUGAAAUUCGUAGAUAUUCGGAGGAACACCAGUGGCGAAGGCGGCUCACUGGCUCGAUACUGACGCUGAGGUGCGAAAGCGUGGGGAGCAAACAGG